This is a non-coding RNA of Epinephelus lanceolatus (giant grouper), 1984 nucleotides long. NCBI's taxonomy places the organism in Eukaryota, Metazoa, Chordata, Actinopteri, Perciformes, Serranidae. The record is from RefSeq and is a predicted model, not a curated record.
CUUUUAUUAUUAUUUAUUAUUACACACUUUUACUGUCAGAUAGUCUGAACCUCCCCCCCCCUGACAGGUUAAGAAAAGUGUCACAGACAAUGGUGGAAGAUGUUAUAUUUUACUUAAAUACAAGUAGAAAUGCAUCAAUGUGGAAACACUCUUUGUCCUUUGUUUAAAGUAAGUGCCAUCUGAAUAGUCAGUAGGGUUUAAAUGAGCUGUAUUUUAGGACCAUCUGGUGGUCGACUGUAAGCUACACUGUAAUCAAACUGUCCACAAUUUAUAUUAUAAAGGAAUAAUGUCACAAGUUAAAACAAAAAACCUGAAAUUGGACAAACUGCUUUUUUUAUCUGCAUCAAAUAAAACUAUCAGUUCAGUCAAAUAUUAAUCUGCAGUUGUUGCAUAUUUUUUGUCUUUUGAUCCCAAAUCAUUUGUGUAGUUAUUUUCAAACCUUAAGUUUCAAGCUGUUUCAAUGAUUCAAGUUGAAUAUCAGUCAAAAUGUAAAGAUAUUGCUCUUUUGGAUUUAAAGCUAAGCUGAUGAUGUGAGAUCAUCUGGGUGUGAAAAGUUUAUUUAAUCAAGUGGAAAGAGGAAAUGGGGGACACAAUGGUAUUUUAGUUAGUUUUUAUCCUCACCAUGCUUCAUUUCAUAAACAGCUUAUAGUUUGUUUAAUUUCUUUUUCUAUAUCGUGGUUCUGUACAUCCAUGUUUCAUGUACAAGUUUGUUGUUUAUCAGUUAUUAAAAGACAGAGUCCAAACUGAACCAUUCCCAUCUUAAAUACCUCACACCUUCAGCAUUUGAUCCAUGCAUGUCCAUCCAAACACCGUCUGAGCUCAUUGGAGUCUGAGCUCUGACUUCAUGUCUCACUGCUGCUGUGUAUGUUGUUCCCUCUGUGUUCGAUAGGGGCUUCAAAAUCAUGGCUUCUUGCCAUCAUCAUCCCCAUCCUCCUCCUCCUCCUCCUCCUCCUCCUCAUCGGGGUGCUUCUCUACAUAUUUCGGAAAAAGCUGCUGAAAUCCCUCAGAGCCAAACAGGGUAGUUGUAGUCAGAGACCAGAAACUGAGGAGAGCGAACAAUCAGUCGCCCUCACCAACAGGACACCCUCAAGGGGAUCUGCUGACGUCAUGUUUUCGACUUGAAACAUGAAUUUUUUAACUAAUUUUUUUUAUAAACGUUUAUUCAAUUUUCCAGAAGCAUUCAAAAAAUCAAAUUACAAAAUUACAAUUUUCACAGGUUUACAAGACUGGUCAAAAAGUGAAAAGAGAGAAGCACAGCACUUAAACAAUAUGAAAGUCAAACUAGUGAAACACAUACAUGGGUCAGAUUCCUGUAAUGUCCCAUUUCAAGCAUAUGUCCAGUUAGUUCAGUUCCAAAUUGUAUUUAACUCCAAGAUGUUCCAAUGGUCUCUUCCAUUUCUGCUGAAAAGUAUGAAUCCUCCCAUUGAUAAUGUCCCAAUUUUUCAAGAGCCAUGACCUCAGAUAUCAGAGAUUUCCACAUAAGAACAGAGGGAGGAUCAUCUCCUACCCACUUCACCAUGAUUGCUUUUCUUGCCAGCAUUAAGAGUGAUUGAAUCACUUCCUCAUGUUGUUUAAGAAAAUUGGGGACAUUUCCAAGCAAACAUAAAAGUGGAUUUGGUGACACCUGUUGUCCUAUUGCAAUACUAAUGUUUGCACAUAUUGCCCUCCAGAAUACCUGAAUUGUAUUGUAUUCCCACAGGCAAUGCAACCUAGUGCCUGCAUGACUUUUACAUUUGGGACAAUUUGGUGAAACUCCUGCUGUAUAUUUACUAUAAAUGUAUGGCGAUAUAUAAAUAUUAUGUAGGACAUUAUAUUGUAAUUCUUUAUCUGUUGCAAAUUGAAAUUCUGGAGGGUAAUCGCAAGAUGUCAUUCCACAUAUCGUCACUUAUCACACAUUUCAGUGAAGUACACCAUGAUGUUUUAAGCCAUGCCAGUUUAUCCGCAUAUAAAAUUCAACAUUUCUGAAUAAAAUUUCGACACAAAA